CGUGAGGGAAAGGCGAAAAGAACCCCGGCGAGGGGAGUGAAAAAGAACCUGAAACCGUGUACGUACAAGCAGUGGGAGCACAGAGCAAUCUGUGUGACUGCGUACCUUUUGUAUAAUGGGUCAGCGACUUAUAUUCUGUAGCAAGGUUAACCGAAUAGGGGAGCCGAAGGGAAACCGAGUCUUAACUGGGCGUUAAGUUGCAGGGUAUAGACCCGAAACCCGGUGAUCUAGCCAUGGGCAGGUUGAAGGUUGGGUAACACUAACUGGAGGACCGAACCGACUAAUGUUGAAAAAUUAGCGGAUGACUUGUGGCUGGGGGUGAAAGGCCAAUCAAACCGGGAGAUAGCUGGUUCUCCCCGAAAGCUAUUUAGGUAGCGCCUCGUGAAUUCAUCUCCGGGGGUAGAGCACUGUUUCGGCAAGGGGGUCAUCCCGACUUACCAACCCGAUGCAAACUGCGAAUACCGGAGAAUGUUAUCACGGGAGACACACGGCGGGUGCUAACGUCCGUCG
RNAcentral lists this ribosomal RNA (510 nucleotides) under Escherichia coli. Its description in RNAcentral is "partial 23S ribosomal RNA". It matches the Rfam family "Bacterial large subunit ribosomal RNA", at positions 502 to 1010 of the family's 2925-position model. Lineage: Bacteria; Pseudomonadati; Pseudomonadota; Gammaproteobacteria; Enterobacterales; Enterobacteriaceae. The record is from RNAcentral.